Molecule: microRNA, 19 nt
Filed under: Mus musculus (house mouse)
Lineage: Eukaryota; Metazoa; Chordata; Mammalia; Rodentia; Muridae
Description: mmu-miR-3961
Source: miRBase by way of RNAcentral
UGCCCUCAGCUCAGUUGGA